Long non-coding RNA from Aethina tumida (small hive beetle), 1168 nucleotides. RefSeq lists it as uncharacterized. The record is from RefSeq and is a predicted model, not a curated record. Lineage: Eukaryota; Metazoa; Arthropoda; Insecta; Coleoptera; Nitidulidae. The transcript is spliced from 2 exons.
UCAAAAUCUGAGUUUAUUUACAAUAGUUUUAACGUAUCUUAUAUUGUACUGAAUUUCUAUUAUUAACAAUGGCAAAAUUAUCAACGCUGCAAUUAUUUGAAAAACAUACUCGCUACGACAAUAAACACUAAUAAAUUUCAAUUUCCAUUUGUAAAUUACCAUAACACAGAGAAAACAACUGAUUUUGUUAUUGUUAACUUAAACGUCUUCACUUAUCAAUAUUUACGUUAAAUUGUCGCAUAUCCGUAUGGGUUUAUUAAGUAUGCAAUAUUCCGCUAAAUUACUGAACUCGAUCACCACCUUCAUUAUAAAUAAACACAGAUGUGGAAAUUUAAAUUAGAACAAAUCAUCAUGUCUGAUCAACCGAAGGACCAUCAAAACGAACAAGCGCCAAAAGUUGCGGAAACCUCCAAGGGGGAAAAGAAGGAAUCGAUGCCGGAUAAACCGGAGAUUUCGUUGAUGAACUUCGCAGACGUGCCCGAUAGGAGCAACGUUGGUGUCGACGGUAAAUUGCAAGAUGAAUUCAAAUGAAAUAAUAUUCUAAUAAAGAUCUGACAUUAUAAUUUUGUAAAUUUUAUUUCGAAUCCAGACCCACUAACUUUAUAUGAUUGAAUUUCAAAUGUAAAUAUUUAUACAAAUUCCAAAUUGAAAAUUGUUCAGCUCCGUCAUCAAUUCGGUAAAUCUCAAUCGUUAAACAACACAAUACUAAAUUUCAUUUCACUCAAAUUAGUAAUGGCUACCGAAGGAAAGAUUACGUCAUUGCCAAGUAAAUUAUAUUAGCAUGGACGUGUAAUCGCCAACCGCAGAUGAGAAAAGUUAGAUCCGCGAAGAUGUCGGAAACGGACAAAAUCUGUUUCGGUCGUACUGAAGACAAUUCGAAUCGUGCAGCCAGCUUCGCCGAAAAGGAAAGGGGCGAAGUGGAAAAACAAACCCAAAACGAACAGGUGCCGAAGAUGGCCACCCGGAAUUUCGCUGAUGUUCCGGCCCGGGAAAACGUUGGGGUUGACGGAGCUGAAGAGGAGGAGUUUAAGUGAUUUUACGUUUGUUGAUUGUUAAAUGUUAUGCAGUAGUGUGUGUUAACUCAACUCUGAUAGUGUACGUCGCAAUAACAGUUGUGCUUGAGAUUAUUUAGUUGUAAAUUUGCAAUUUAGUAAAUUUGUUUAAUUUU